ACUUCCCAGCAUCCCUGUUUCC
This 22-nucleotide microRNA is filed under the name Taeniopygia guttata (zebra finch). Its description in RNAcentral is "tgu-miR-2963-5p". Lineage: Eukaryota; Metazoa; Chordata; Aves; Passeriformes; Estrildidae. The record is from miRBase by way of RNAcentral.